This 253-nucleotide ribosomal RNA is filed under the name uncultured bacterium. RNAcentral's name for it is "partial 16S ribosomal RNA". It matches the Rfam family "Bacterial small subunit ribosomal RNA", at positions 524 to 776 of the family's 1533-position model. The record is from RNAcentral.
GACAGAGGGGGCAAGCGUUGCUCGGAAUCACUGGGCGUAAAGGGCGCGUAGGCGGGACGGCAAGUCGACUGUGAAAGCCCCGGGCUCAACCCGGGAGGGUCGGUCGAGACUGUCGUUCUUGAGGGGGGCAGAGGAGUCUGGAAUUCCCGGUGUAGCGGUGAAAUGUGUAGAGAUCGGGAGGAACACCGGUGGCGAAGGCGGGGCUCUGGGCCUUACCUGACGCUGAGGCGCGAAAGCGUGGGGAGCAAACGGG